UCCCUGGUGGUCCAGUGGUUAAGAUUCUGUGCUUCAACGGCAGGAGGCACAGGUUCGAUUCCUGGUCAGGGAG
This 73-nucleotide transfer RNA is filed under the name Bos taurus (domestic cattle). It matches the Rfam family "tRNA". From Rfam's summary of the family: Transfer RNA (tRNA) molecules are approximately 80 nucleotides in length. Their secondary structure includes four short double-helical elements and three loops (D, anti-codon, and T loops). RNAcentral also lists the same sequence under 4 other names. The record is from Rfam by way of RNAcentral. Lineage: Eukaryota; Metazoa; Chordata; Mammalia; Artiodactyla; Bovidae.